CGCGUCGACGAGAAGCUUGCUUCUCUUGAGAGCGGCGGACGGGUGAGUAAUACCUAGGAAUCUGCCUGAUAGUGGGGGAUAACGUUCGGAAACGGACGCUAAUACCGCAUACGUCCUACGGGAGAAAGCAGGGGACCUUCGGGCCUUGCGCUAUCAGAUGAGCCUAGGUCGGAUUAGCUAGUUGGUGAGGUAAUGGCUCACCAAGGCUACGAUCCGUAACUGGUCUGAGAGGAUGAUCAGUCACACUGGAACUGAGACACG
RNAcentral lists this ribosomal RNA (261 nucleotides) under uncultured bacterium. RNAcentral describes it as "partial 16S ribosomal RNA". It matches the Rfam family "Bacterial small subunit ribosomal RNA", at positions 65 to 328 of the family's 1533-position model. The record is from RNAcentral.